Molecule: signal recognition particle RNA, 296 nt
Filed under: Aotus nancymaae (Ma's night monkey)
Lineage: Eukaryota; Metazoa; Chordata; Mammalia; Primates; Aotidae
Description: Metazoan signal recognition particle RNA (ENSANAG00000012090.1)
Rfam family: Metazoan signal recognition particle RNA
About the family: The signal recognition particle (SRP) is a universally conserved ribonucleoprotein.
Source: Rfam by way of RNAcentral
GCCCGGUGCGGUCAUGUGUGCCUGUAGUCCCAGCUACUCAGGAGGCUGAGGUGGGAGGAUCGCUUGAGCCCAGGAGUUCCAGGCUGUAGUGUGCUAUGCCGAUCGGGUGUCUGCACUAAGUUCGGCAUCAAUAUGGUGACCUCCUGAGAGUGGGGGACCACCAGGUUGCCUAAGGAGGGGUGAACCAGCCCAGGUUGGAAACAGAGCAAGUCAAAACUCCCAUGCUGAUCAGUAGUGGGAUUGCACCUGUGAAUAACUACACACCAGCCGGGCAACAUAGCAAGACCCUGUCUCCU